AAACGUUUUCUACGUCUUUGAGUUUUUAAUCAAAAUCCUCUGGAAUGGGGUAUCAUGGAGGGUGACAAUCCCGUUCAUGGUUAAUUCUCAGUUGUUUAUGAUACGUUUUCGAAGAGUCGAGUUGUUUGGGAUUGCAGCUCAAAAUGGGAGGUAAAUUUCUCCUAAAGCUAAAUAUUGGCGAGAGACCGAUAGCGAACAAGUACCGUGAGGGAAAGAUGAAAAGAACUUUGAAAAGAGAGUUAAAUAGUACGUGAAAUUGUUGAAAGGGAAACGAUUGAAGUCAGUCGUACCAACGGGAAAUCAGCCUUUUGAAGCGGAUUUUGGUGUUUCAAAGAGUGUCAAAACCUUUGGGGUGUCAAAACUCUUCUUUUCUGGGUGUACUUUCUCGUAGGUAGGUCAACAUCGAUUUUGAACAUCAUAAAAAGACUGGAGGAAUGUAGCUUCGAUCUCGUAUUGAAGUGUUAUAGCCUUUGGUAAAUGUGAUGAUCAAGAUCGAGGAUUGCAACGAAUAUCCUUUUGGGCUAUCCGUCUGAUCUCUGAUACGUUGCCUUGGUAUUGAAAGCUUG
This 566-nucleotide ribosomal RNA is filed under the name uncultured Glomus. Its description in RNAcentral is "eukaryotic LSU rRNA". It matches the Rfam family "Eukaryotic large subunit ribosomal RNA", at positions 156 to 636 of the family's 3401-position model. The record is from RNAcentral. Lineage: Eukaryota; Fungi; Glomeromycota; Glomeromycetes; Glomerales; Glomeraceae.